Molecule: ribosomal RNA, 253 nt
Filed under: uncultured bacterium
Lineage: Bacteria
Description: partial 16S ribosomal RNA
Rfam family: Bacterial small subunit ribosomal RNA
Source: RNAcentral
UACGUAGGGUGCAAGCGUUAAUCGGAAUUACUGGGCGUAAAGCGUGCGCAGGCGGCUUUGCAAGACAGAUGUGAAAUCCCCGGGCUUAACCUGGGAGCUGCAUUUGUGACUGCAUGGCUGGAGUGCGGCAGAGGGGGAUGGAAUUCCGCGUGUAGCAGUGAAAUGCGUAGAUAUGCGGAGGAACACCGAUGGCGAAGGCAAUCCCCUGGGCCUGCACUGACGCUCAUGCACGAAAGCGUGGGGAGCGAACAGG